ACUGCCACUUCUGUGCCUUGUGUGGUUGUUGUUGCUAAUGACAAUCCUCCUCCUCCCAUUCCUUCCAAUUUACCAGCUCCUGCUUCACCCACUAAGCCAUCUCUCUCAAGGGUUCCGAGCUCUCAUGAUAACUGCAGGUAUGUUUGUGCUAUGUUAAUGAUAAAUUCUUAUUCCUUAACAAGCCAAAGCAAUGUUCUUUUCCGAUUUUCUGUCCUUGUAGAGUAUGCCAACAGGACAAAGAAGAAGUGCUGAUAGAUCUUGG
RNAcentral lists this long non-coding RNA (262 nucleotides) under Linum usitatissimum (flax). RNAcentral describes it as "long non-coding RNA (LUSI_LNC000717)". The record is from RNAcentral. Lineage: Eukaryota; Viridiplantae; Streptophyta; Magnoliopsida; Malpighiales; Linaceae.